RNAcentral lists this long non-coding RNA (1176 nucleotides) under Olea europaea subsp. europaea. Lineage: Eukaryota; Viridiplantae; Streptophyta; Magnoliopsida; Lamiales; Oleaceae. The record is from RNAcentral.
AGCGAAGCGACGACUGUAGGUUCUUGCGAAGCACUGUUUCCACAUCGAUUCCUGAGUCUUAGGAGGGAAUGCUGACAUCAAAUAUGGAAAGAACAAAGCUUAACCCUUGCUAUUGNUUCUCAAAUUCACGAAGCCCACAAUUUUCAUAAAUACUAUCAGCAGGCUCACAACUCACUAAGUCACAGACAACCUCACAGUAAAUGCUCAUAAAAACAUAAAUUCAUAAAUCAUAAUUGACUAUUUUAACUGAUAACUCAUCAUUUUAUAAAUAAUAAAUCAAUAAACCAAAUAGACGAACAAAAACAGAAAAUAAUAAUAAUAAUAAUUGAAGAGAGACAAGAGGUUCACCGCUCAUGUCCCGCUAUCACGAGUGGAAUCAGUUACCGGCGAUGCAGUGGUGUAGCGCUGCAGUGGCCGAUGGCUCAACUUCAACAACUCCACAGUGGCUUAGCAUGCGUGCUAGCAGCAGAGAAUUGGAUUUGGAAUUUGGAAUUGGAUGGAAUUGCUUAAUUAUGGAUUUUAAGUGCCGAGUGCAUCUGCGUGAUUUGUGAAUUGAAUACAACCAGCAAGUCAAGCGGGUUUUGCAUCUUCAAUCCAUUGGAUUGAGUAAUUGGGUCUAUUUUUAUUUUUAUUUUUAAUAAGAGGCCCAAAAGAAAAGGCGCACCAAAAAAAAAAAAAAAAGAGAGAGGCCCAAAUCACUUUUAUUCAUCUUCAAAUUCAUUCAUUCUUCUGGGCGGCUGCACCUGCAUUUCAACCUUCAAGCUUUGUCCAUAGCGAAGCGACGACUGUAGGUUCUUGCGAAGCACUGUUUCCACAUCCAUUCCUGAGUCUUAGGAGGGAAUGCUGACAUCAAAUAUGGAAAGAACAAAGCUUAACCCUUGCUAUUGCUAUAAAAUAAAUUAGGGUUAAGCUUUGUUCUUCCCAGAUCCAAUGUCGGCAUUACCUCCAAAGUCUUCGGGAGAGGUGGUGUGGCAAACAACCGCCUCCAUCAAUUCUUUCUGGUCGUGGCACUUGAGUAGUUUUAGAAGGAACCAUUUUCUUAUCUCCAUCAUCAAUGUUUUUCAUGUAGUAGAGAGGUUUUUGGAAGCACGAAAACUCUGCCAAAGUCUCUUGUAUUCUCAUGGUGGUGGGAGGAAAAAUUUAUAGUGAAGAAUUUACAGAAUGAUUGGUAGUUGC